RNAcentral lists this ribosomal RNA (115 nucleotides) under Salvator merianae (Argentine black and white tegu). The record is from RNAcentral. Lineage: Eukaryota; Metazoa; Chordata; Lepidosauria; Squamata; Teiidae.
GGGCACAGUCACAGCAUUUAGGCUGCCUGUCACUGAUUUUGCAUGUCACAAGCAACCAUGGGCGUUGUGAGUACUUGGAUGGGAGACCACCCAGGAAUAUCAAGUGCUGUAGACU